Molecule: ribosomal RNA, 256 nt
Filed under: uncultured bacterium
Lineage: Bacteria
Description: partial 16S ribosomal RNA
Rfam family: Bacterial small subunit ribosomal RNA
Source: RNAcentral
GACGUAGGGGCGCGAGCGUUUGUCCGGAUUUAUUGGGCGUAAAGAGCUCGUAGGCGGUUUGUCGCGUCGUCUGUGAAAACCCACGGCUCAACUGUGGGCUUGCAGUCGAUACGGGCAGACUAGAGUUCGGUAGGGGAGUCUGGAAUUCCUGGUGUAGCGGUGAAAUGCGCAGAUAUCAGGAGGAACACCGGCGGCGAAGGCGGGUCUCUGGGCCGUAACUGACGCUGAGGAGCGAAAGCAUGGGGGAGCGAACAGG